Molecule: ribosomal RNA, 1038 nt
Filed under: Cosmospora sp. 2 PC-2011
Lineage: Eukaryota; Fungi; Ascomycota; Sordariomycetes; Hypocreales; Nectriaceae
Description: SSU rRNA
Rfam family: Eukaryotic small subunit ribosomal RNA
Source: RNAcentral
GUCUAGUUAGCAAUUAUACCGCGAAACUGCGAAUGGCUCAUUAUAUAAGUUAUCGUUUAUUUGAUAGUACCUUACUACUUGGAUAACCGUGGUAAUUCUAGAGCUAAUACAUGCUAAAAAUCCCGACUUCGGAAGGGAUGUAUUUAUUAGAUUAAAAACCAAUGCCCUUCGGGGCUCCUUGGUGAUUCAUGAUAACUUCUCGAAUCGCAUGGCCUUGUGCCGGCGAUGGUUCAUUCAAAUUUCUUCCCUAUCAACUUUCGAUGUUUGGGUCUUGGCCAAACAUGGUUGCAACGGGUAACGGAGGGUUAGGGCUCGACCCCGGAGAAGGAGCCUGAGAAACGGCUACUACAUCCAAGGAAGGCAGCAGGCGCGCAAAUUACCCAAUCCCGACUCGGGGAGGUAGUGACAAUAAAUACUGAUACAGGGCUCUUUUGGGUCUUGUAAUUGGAAUGAGUACAAUUUAAAUCCCUUAACGAGGAACAAUUGGAGGGCAAGUCUGGUGCCAGCAGCCGCGGUAAUUCCAGCUCCAAUAGCGUAUAUUAAAGUUGUUGUGGUUAAAAAGCUCGUAGUUGAACCUUGGGCCUGGCUGGCCGGUCCGCCUCACCGCGUGUACUGGUCCGGCCGGGCCUUUCCCUCUGUGGAACCCCAUGCCCUUCACUGGGUGUGGCGGGGAAACAGGACUUUUACUUUGAAAAAAUUAGAGUGCUCCAGGCAGGCCUAUGCUCGAAUACAUUAGCAUGGAAUAAUAGAAUAGGACGUGUGGUUCUAUUUUGUUGGUUUCUAGGACCGCCGUAAUGAUUAAUAGGGACAGUCGGGGGCAUCAGUAUUCAAUUGUCAGAGGUGAAAUUCUUGGAUUUAUUGAAGACUAACUACUGCGAAAGCAUUUGCCAAGGAUGUUUUCAUUAAUCAGGAACGAAAGUUAGGGGAUCGAAGACGAUCAGAUACCGUCGUAGUCUUAACCAUAAACUAUGCCGACUAGGGAUCGGACGAUGUUAUUUUUUGACUCGUUCGGCACCUUACGAGAAAUCAAAGUGCUGG